Molecule: ribosomal RNA, 2905 nt
Filed under: Escherichia coli
Lineage: Bacteria; Pseudomonadati; Pseudomonadota; Gammaproteobacteria; Enterobacterales; Enterobacteriaceae
Also listed under: 1 other name
Description: 23S ribosomal RNA
Rfam family: Bacterial large subunit ribosomal RNA
Source: RNAcentral
GGUUAAGCGACUAAGCGUACACGGUGGAUGCCCUGGCAGUCAGAGGCGAUGAAGGACGUGCUAAUCUGCGAUAAGCGUCGGUAAGGUGAUAUGAACCGUUAUAACCGGCGAUUUCCGAAUGGGGAAACCCAGUGUGUUUCGACACACUAUCAUUAACUGAAUCCAUAGGUUAAUGAGGCGAACCGGGGGAACUGAAACAUCUAAGUACCCCGAGGAAAAGAAAUCAACCGAGAUUCCCCCAGUAGCGGCGAGCGAACGGGGAGGAGCCCAGAGCCUGAAUCAGUGUGUGUGUUAGUGGAAGCGUCUGGAAAGGCGCGCGAUACAGGGUGACAGCCCCGUACACAAAAAUGCACAUACUGUGAGCUCGAUGAGUAGGGCGGGACACGUGGUAUCCUGUCUGAAUAUGGGGGGACCAUCCUCCAAGGCUAAAUACUCCUGACUGACCGAUAGUGAACCAGUACCGUGAGGGAAAGGCGAAAAGAACCCCGGCGAGGGGAGUGAAAAAGAACCUGAAACCGUGUACGUACAAGCAGUGGGAGCCUCUUUAUGGGGUGACUGCGUACCUUUUGUAUAAUGGGUCAGCGACUUAUAUUCUGUAGCAAGGUUAACCGAAUAGGGGAGCCGAAGGGAAACCGAGUCUUAACUGGGCGUUAAGUUGCAGGGUAUAGACCCGAAACCCGGUGAUCUAGCCAUGGGCAGGUUGAAGGUUGGGUAACACUAACUGGAGGACCGAACCGACUAAUGUUGAAAAAUUAGCGGAUGACUUGUGGCUGGGGGUGAAAGGCCAAUCAAACCGGGAGAUAGCUGGUUCUCCCCGAAAGCUAUUUAGGUAGCGCCUCGUGAAUUCAUCUCCGGGGGUAGAGCACUGUUUCGGCAAGGGGGUCAUCCCGACUUACCAACCCGAUGCAAACUGCGAAUACCGGAGAAUGUUAUCACGGGAGACACACGGCGGGUGCUAACGUCCGUCGUGAAGAGGGAAACAACCCAGACCGCCAGCUAAGGUCCCAAAGUCAUGGUUAAGUGGGAAACGAUGUGGGAAGGCCCAGACAGCCAGGAUGUUGGCUUAGAAGCAGCCAUCAUUUAAAGAAAGCGUAAUAGCUCACUGGUCGAGUCGGCCUGCGCGGAAGAUGUAACGGGGCUAAACCAUGCACCGAAGCUGCGGCAGCGACGCUUAUGCGUUGUUGGGUAGGGGAGCGUUCUGUAAGCCUGCGAAGGUGUGCUGUGAGGCAUGCUGGAGGUAUCAGAAGUGCGAAUGCUGACAUAAGUAACGAUAAAGCGGGUGAAAAGCCCGCUCGCCGGAAGACCAAGGGUUCCUGUCCAACGUUAAUCGGGGCAGGGUGAGUCGACCCCUAAGGCGAGGCCGAAAGGCGUAGUCGAUGGGAAACAGGUUAAUAUUCCUGUACUUGGUGUUACUGCGAAGGGGGGACGGAGAAGGCUAUGUUGGCCGGGCGACGGUUGUCCCGGUUUAAGCGUGUAGGCUGGUUUUCCAGGCAAAUCCGGAAAAUCAAGGCUGAGGCGUGAUGACGAGGCACUACGGUGCUGAAGCAACAAAUGCCCUGCUUCCAGGAAAAGCCUCUAAGCAUCAGGUAACAUCAAAUCGUACCCCAAACCGACACAGGUGGUCAGGUAGAGAAUACCAAGGCGCUUGAGAGAACUCGGGUGAAGGAACUAGGCAAAAUGGUGCCGUAACUUCGGGAGAAGGCACGCUGAUAUGUAGGUGAAGCGACUUGCUCGUGGAGCUGAAAUCAGUCGAAGAUACCAGCUGGCUGCAACUGUUUAUUAAAAACACAGCACUGUGCAAACACGAAAGUGGACGUAUACGGUGUGACGCCUGCCCGGUGCCGGAAGGUUAAUUGAUGGGGUUAGCGGUAACGCGAAGCUCUUGAUCGAAGCCCCGGUAAACGGCGGCCGUAACUAUAACGGUCCUAAGGUAGCGAAAUUCCUUGUCGGGUAAGUUCCGACCUGCACGAAUGGCGUAAUGAUGGCCAGGCUGUCUCCACCCGAGACUCAGUGAAAUUGAACUCGCUGUGAAGAUGCAGUGUACCCGCGGCAAGACGGAAAGACCCCGUGAACCUUUACUAUAGCUUGACACUGAACAUUGAGCCUUGAUGUGUAGGAUAGGUGGGAGGCUUUGAAGUGUGGACGCCAGUCUGCAUGGAGCCGACCUUGAAAUACCACCCUUUAAUGUUUGAUGUUCUAACGUUGGCCCGUAAUCCGGGUUGCGGACAGUGUCUGGUGGGUAGUUUGACUGGGGCGGUCUCCUCCUAAAGAGUAACGGAGGAGCACGAAGGUUGGCUAAUCCUGGUCGGACAUCAGGAGGUUAGUGCAAUGGCAUAAGCCAGCUUGACUGCGAGCGUGACGGCGCGAGCAGGUGCGAAAGCAGGUCAUAGUGAUCCGGUGGUUCUGAAUGGAAGGGCCAUCGCUCAACGGAUAAAAGGUACUCCGGGGAUAACAGGCUGAUACCGCCCAAGAGUUCAUAUCGACGGCGGUGUUUGGCACCUCGAUGUCGGCUCAUCACAUCCUGGGGCUGAAGUAGGUCCCAAGGGUAUGGCUGUUCGCCAUUUAAAGUGGUACGCGAGCUGGGUUUAGAACGUCGUGAGACAGUUCGGUCCCUAUCUGCCGUGGGCGCUGGAGAACUGAGGGGGGCUGCUCCUAGUACGAGAGGACCGGAGUGGACGCAUCACUGGUGUUCGGGUUGUCAUGCCAAUGGCACUGCCCGGUAGCUAAAUGCGGAAGAGAUAAGUGCUGAAAGCAUCUAAGCACGAAACUUGCCCCGAGAUGAGUUCUCCCUGAGACUUUAAGUCUCCUGAAGGAACGUUGAAGACGACGACGUUGAUAGGCCGGGUGUGUAAGCGCAGCGAUGCGUUGAGCUAACCGGUACUAAUGAACCGUGAGGCUUAACCUU